Molecule: ribosomal RNA, 660 nt
Filed under: Bacillus subtilis
Lineage: Bacteria; Bacillati; Bacillota; Bacilli; Caryophanales; Bacillaceae
Description: bacterial SSU rRNA
Rfam family: Bacterial small subunit ribosomal RNA
Source: RNAcentral
ACGCCGCGUGAGUGAUGAAGGUUUUCGGAUCGUAAAGCUCUGUUGUUAGGGAAGAACAAGUACCGUUCGAAUAGGGCGGUACCUUGACGGUACCUAACCAGAAAGCCACGGCUAACUACGUGCCAGCAGCCGCGGUAAUACGUAGGUGGCAAGCGUUGUCCGGAAUUAUUGGGCGUAAAGGGCUCGCAGGCGGUUUCUUAAGUCUGAUGUGAAAGCCCCCGGCUCAACCGGGGAGGGUCAUUGGAAACUGGGGAACUUGAGUGCAGAAGAGGAGAGUGGAAUUCCACGUGUAGCGGUGAAAUGCGUAGAGAUGUGGAGGAACACCAGUGGCGAAGGCGACUCUCUGGUCUGUAACUGACGCUGAGGAGCGAAAGCGUGGGGAGCGAACAGGAUUAGAUACCCUGGUAGUCCACGCCGUAAACGAUGAGUGCUAAGUGUUAGGGGGUUUCCGCCCCUUAGUGCUGCAGCUAACGCAUUAAGCACUCCGCCUGGGGAGUACGGUCGCAAGACUGAAACUCAAAGGAAUUGACGGGGGCCCGCACAAGCGGUGGAGCAUGUGGUUUAAUUCGAAGCAACGCGAAGAACCUUACCAGGUCUUGACAUCCUCUGACAAUCCUAGAGAUAGGACGUCCCCUUCGGGGGCAGAGUGACAGGUGGUGC